UUAGUGAAUAUAGGACGUCCAACUUAACUUGGAGUCCGAACUCUCACUUUCUAACCCUGUGCACUUGUUUGGGAUAGUAACUCUCGCAAGAGAGCGAACUCCUAUUCACUUAUAAACACAAAGUCUAUGAAUGUAUUAAAUUUUAUAACAAAAUAAAACUUUCAACAACGGAUCUCUUGGCUCUCGCAUCGAUGAAGAACGCAGCGAAAUGCGAUAAGUAAUGUGAAUUGCAGAAUUCAGUGAAUCAUCGAAUCUUUGAACGCACCUUGCGCUCCAUGGUAUUCCGUGGAGCAUGCCUGUUUGAGUGUCAUGAAUACUUCAACCCUCCUCUUUCUUAAUGAUUGAAGAGGUGUUUGGUUUCUGAGCGCUGCUGGCCUUUACGGUCUAGCUCGUUCGUAAUGCAUUAGCAUCCGCAAUCGAACUUCGGAUUGACUUGGCGUAAUAGACUAUUCGCUGAGGAAUUCUAGUCUUCGGAUUAGAGCCGGGUUGGGUUAAAGGAAGCUUCUAAUCAGAAUGUCUACAUUUUAAGAUUAGAUCUCAAAUCAGGUAGGACUACCCGCUGAACUUAAGCAUAUCAAUAAGCGGAGGA
This 589-nucleotide ribosomal RNA is filed under the name Rhodotorula mucilaginosa. RNAcentral describes it as "eukaryotic LSU rRNA". The stretch from base 157 to 310 matches the Rfam family "5.8S ribosomal RNA". The record is from RNAcentral. Lineage: Eukaryota; Fungi; Basidiomycota; Microbotryomycetes; Sporidiobolales; Sporidiobolaceae.